This is a long non-coding RNA of Pogoniulus pusillus (Red-fronted tinkerbird), 283 nucleotides long. RefSeq lists it as uncharacterized. NCBI's taxonomy places the organism in Eukaryota, Metazoa, Chordata, Aves, Piciformes, Lybiidae. The transcript has 3 exons. The record is from RefSeq and is a predicted model, not a curated record.
GAUUCUUGGAGAAGGAAAAGAUAUUACUUAACUUCAUAUGGUGAAGACCAUUUCAAUCAAGUCUAUAAGACAUGAAAAUACAAAGGGAAAGAUUUGCUAUUAUUUCCUUCCCAUGGCUACUUCAUGAGAAGAAACACAAAAUGGAAUGCUUCAUGAGAAGAAACACAGAAUGGAAUGAGAAUAGUGAAAUGACAACAAUUUUUGCUAUAAUAUACUAAAGCUAGAUCUUGCCAGCACAAAGAAGUGUACAAGAUUGCUUUCCUGAUCUGUAGACAUACAUGGA